GACGAACGCUGGCGGCGUGCUUAACACAUGCAAGUCGAACGGAAAGGCCUUGUCGGGGGUACUCGAGUAGCGAACGGGUGGAUAACACGCGGGUGAUCGGCACUGCACUGUGGGAUAAGCCUGGGUAACUGGGUCUAAUACCGGGGGGGAGCGCACUUUGGGGUGUGUGGGGGAGAGUUUUUUCGGUGUAGGGUGAGGGCGCGGCCUAGCUGCGUGUUGGUGGGGUAAUGGUUUACCAAGGCGGCGACGGGUAGCCGGACUGGGGGGUUGGUCGGGCACAGUCAGACUGAGAUACAGCCCAGACUCCAACGGGAGGCAGCAGUGGGGAAUAUUGCACAAUGGGCGUAAGCGUGAUGCAGCGACGCCGCUGGGGGGAUGACGGCCUUCGGGUUGUAAACUCCUUUCGCCAGGGACGAAGCGGUUUGUGACGGUACCUGGAGAAGAAGCACCGGCUAACCACGUG
RNAcentral lists this ribosomal RNA (463 nucleotides) under uncultured bacterium. RNAcentral describes it as "partial 16S ribosomal RNA". It matches the Rfam family "Bacterial small subunit ribosomal RNA", at positions 28 to 507 of the family's 1533-position model. The record is from RNAcentral.